This is a non-coding RNA of Kogia breviceps (pygmy sperm whale), 651 nucleotides long. The record is from RefSeq and is a predicted model, not a curated record. NCBI's taxonomy places the organism in Eukaryota, Metazoa, Chordata, Mammalia, Artiodactyla, Physeteridae.
UUUCUUGCCUUACAGAAGUUACUUUUUCAGAAAGCUUCGUGGAAAUCCUUUUAAGCAGCUGACAUGGAAAGAGACCAUAUAAACGCUGCUCUUCAACCACUAAUUACCACUGAAUUGAUGCAUUUUCUUCAAGCAAGCCCUGACUUCCUUCCACUUCACAGAACCAAAGAGAGAAAACAAAAGACACUCAAGGAGAUCACAGAAGAACCCAGUGUGGAGCAAGUAGAAUUACAUCAAGAUUCAUAAGGAAGAAAUGAAAAGCAGCCCACAAUAGUUUGGGGGAAAACUAUUUCCUCCUCUCCCCCUCUCUGUUCAUAUCCUACCUUCUGGAAAUCCAUAUUCUUUCAGUAUCUCUGCUUUCAUCAACUUUUAACAUCCUCCUCCCUGUCAAUGACUUCUGGUGGUUUUAUGAGCACACCACUGUUUGCUCUCCAAAAUACUUUCUGUAGAAUUUGCAGAUUUCCAUGGAGUGACUACUCCCAUUGUAGCCAUUAAUUCAAGCUGCCAACAUAGUAUCACUGAGGGUACAGGUGGGAUGAGCUGUGCCAGCAGAAGCUGGUACAAGCUAGCUCAACACUGCCAAAGUCUUUCAAAAUGAGUUCUUAGCCUUGUCACACCAUUGACCACUUUUGCCUCUGAAAAACUACACUU